RNA transcript from Cannabis sativa, 1030 nucleotides. RefSeq lists it as uncharacterized. NCBI's taxonomy places the organism in Eukaryota, Viridiplantae, Streptophyta, Magnoliopsida, Rosales, Cannabaceae. The record is from RefSeq and is a predicted model, not a curated record. The transcript is spliced from 2 exons.
UUUCUUUGUUUCGUCAGACUCAGUUUGGGCAUUUUCUGGAUAUGCCUGAGUUUGUUUUUCAUCCACAAGUCGUACAUAGUUUAUUACUAAGGGAAGUUUUACAGCCUAAUCCUAAGGAGUUUUGGGCUAAGGUUGCUGGCCGUUGCAUACGGUUUAGUGCCGAAGAAUUUUACCUGAUUUCUGGUUUAGAUUGUUUCGGUGAUUGCAACAAGUUGUUGUUUUCACAGGAAACAAAUCAAUUGGUAGAAACAUGUUUCCGUGGUGUAAAAACUAUUGACAACAAAGCCAUCGAGGAUGCUUUUUUGGGUAGUCGGUGGGGUUUGGAUGAGUCUAUUGGUUUGAAAAUGGCUGUUUUGUAUUUCAUUCAGUGUUUUCUUCUUAGCAAUACUCCUGACAAAGAAGUGUGUAGGUUUGUUCUAGAUGUAGUUGAUAGCGGUCGGUGGGAUGAGUAUUGUUGGGGUAGGGAAUCAUUUGAAUUGACAAUUGACUCAUUCAAAGGUAGGAUUGAGCAUGGGAUCAUUAUGAAAAAUAGAAAGGCAGAGAAGGGAGACCAAUAUGAUGGCUGGUAUAGGGCAUUGGGAUGUCCUUGGGUUUUCACUGUUUAGUUUUAUGAAUGCUGUCCUGCAAUGGUGAACUCUUUCUGUAAGAGAGUUUCAUCUUCUAUUCCCAGGAUUCUGAACUGGAGCAACACCAUCGUCACCAAAAAUCCAACCCUUCGAGACUUGAAGGGCAAGAUUUUUGAUUUACCUUUGGAGAAGUUGAAGAUAAAAAACAUGCGUCCUACUGAUGAAGAGAGGCAGCAGCUUCAACUUGACGGUAUAUUUAUCGAUGAAUCUAUUGAUGAACGUGGUGUAGCGAAGCAAUCCUUCGAGGGUGGGUCAUCUUCAAAGAAGUCUGAUUCAGCAGAUGGUUGUUUUCCAGUUGCUCAACCAUUUCCUCUGCCACAAGUUUUGCAUAGUCCAUGAAGUCAAAACUUUCUUCCCCAAAUUCCAGUACUCUUGCUUCAAUUAUAUGUUGUUGAUUUGUUGAG